UUCGGAGUGUAAACCACUGUCGCGAGGGACGAAGCUCUGACGGUACCUCGAAAGGAAGCACCGGCUAACUCUGUGCCAGCAGCCGCGGUAAUACAGAGGGUGCAAGCGUUGUCCGGAAUCACUGGGCGUAAAGGGCGCGUAGGCGGCCCGGUAAGUAGGGGGUGAAAUCUCACGGCUCAACUGUGAGGCUGCCUUCUAGACUGCCAGGCUCGAGCACAGUAGAGGCUGGUGGAAUUCCCGGUGUAGCGGUGGAAUGCGUAGAGAUCGGGAAGAACAUCUGUGGCGAAGGCGGCCAGCUGGGCUGUUGCUGACGCUGAUGCGCGACAGCGUGGGGAGCAAACAGGAUUAGAUACCCUGGUAGUCCACGCCGUAAACGAUGGGCACUAGGCGUCGGGGGGAGCGACCCUCUCGGUGCCGUCGCUAACGCAAUAAGUGCCCCGCCUGGGGAGUACGGUCGCAAGACUGAAACUCAAAUGAAUUGACGGA
Molecule: ribosomal RNA, 486 nt
Filed under: uncultured bacterium
Lineage: Bacteria
Description: bacterial SSU rRNA
Rfam family: Bacterial small subunit ribosomal RNA
Source: RNAcentral